CACAUCUCAAUCUCCUCUACACAACCCAUUGGCACUUUGUCGAGCGAGCCUAUCGCCGCCUUUCCUCUUCCCCCGCUUCUACAUGUCUCCUCUCCUCUAUCAUUUUCCUGUCGUGGACUUGAAGAAGGUUCAUCGUGCUGCAAUCGAUCUGGAAGAAAAUGACCCAUAUCCUCCCCGAUCUGGAAGGUUCAUCGUCGUCAACAGUCAAGGAAGCACGGAUCUCACGGUAGCUGCGUAAUUAGGGAGUAAAGGAGGAUAAGCUUGGAUGGUCUACAUCAAAUUCAAUGGUACACUGCACCCGACGUGUGUUCUCUACGUCUUCAAAUCAUCCAACGGCUAACCAGUUCACUUUGAAGUUGAUAGGAAGCUUUGCAAAAUAUUAUUACUCUGGAGAAGAUAUAGAUGUUGUCCAAAUAUCAGAUUAUCUGCAUGGUAAAACUAAUAGCUCUUUCUUCCGGUAUUAAGACAAGGUAUGAUGCCUGGACCAUGAAUAUUUUUCCAUAUAUAUUCAUUUGACCUAUAAGAUGGACCAACUUCCGAGAUUUCUCUCAAUUCAGGCUGUUAAACUGUACAUUUUUGGCAGAUUUGUACUAAGAAUUUAACAUUGUUGCUCAUGCACAAUUUCCUGUGGUAACUAUGGAAUCCAUAUUUCCUUGGUCUGUUUUAAUAAUAUGUAUGAUAUUUCCUUUGUAGUUCCAUAAUUAAGAUUUUACAGUUGUGACGUAUAAAAAAUAUGAUACGUUAGACAUUUUCAACCAGGAAUACCAGAGAGCCCCUUUGGCGAUUCUAAUAUUUAUGGCAAUGGGGUUGUGUAAUUGAUAAUGAUCCAGAUUAGUAUCAGCUAAAUCUGCUUUCACGAAAUUAGUGGAUCUAUGUGUUCCAUUUUACGCAGCAAAAUAGUGUAUACGCAUGCCACUAAAUCUAUUUCAUCAUCGAACAAUACUCUACAAAAGCUCCCAAUAAAUUUUUGUGCGCAAACUUACAACUAAUCUAAUAUUUCUGUAUAGAUCGCAAAUAGGAAUUAUAGUCUUUAUCUUGAACUAAUAAAUGAUUUUAGUUACCACCAAGUCAUGUAUGGUCACAUUAUUGAUCAAACUGAAACUGAUUCUCCUUUGUACCUCAUCCAGUGGCUACAAAAAGUACAAAUAGAGCACUGCAAAUCAGAGGGAGUGAUAUCUUCCCUCAAACUUUUCAAUUUUGUCAUUCACCACUUUUGUCCCAACUAAACAGACAACUCAGUCAGUCUAAAUCCUUUGCUUCAUUUUCCAACAAUUCGGCUUUACCUGUAAUGUUUCAUCUAUAAAAGGUCAUGAGCAGAUGUUUCGUGUUGUUCCCUGGACAUGAGUUCUGAAAAGCUUGAUUUCCAUUUUUUGGAUUUCACAGCCUGGACAAAGCAAUGAUUUUCCAAAUUGGUUUUAAGUUGUGUUCUUUCAAUGAAAUUGAGUAAGCAACGGAAAGUUGAUCAAUCAGAUUAUUAGGGUGCGCCUUACGCUUCAGUAGGAAUGAUUGGUUAUAUUGUGUCAAUCUUGCAGUACAGAUGGCGUUGUGGUGGACGAAGGGGUGAGAAUUGAUGGGACUUAAUGGUCAGUUAUUGUACUAAUUUUUGAACGGAAUUUCUAGAAAGUGAACCUUUCCCCUCAGCCUUCCUAGUGUGACACAGUAUUUACCAUCUGAUUUUGGCUUGCAUCCGCGUGCACAUCGUCACAAUUGAUGUGUGACAUUAGUACAACAACCUGAAAACGCCCUGUAGUGCGGUGUCCACUUUUGAAAUCUCGAUUUUCCCCAUGGGUUUGUUUCAUGUUAUUAAGUAAUAUCUCUCUCUUCUCAUUAAAAAAACAUAUUCAAGCCAUGUUUGAUGAGCACGAUGAGAAUUUUAAAGGUGUACUACAGUUGGAGCAAAUUUAUUGGUUCCUGCAAGCAGAACGGCUUACCUUUUUCUGUUUUAUGGGAAUUACUACCCCCCUCAACCAUCUCAUGUAAAAAGUACACAAAUAUGCAUUGGUAGAUACCAGUUUGAAAUGUGCAGAUCAAAUCACACUUCAAGUUAAGCUGUACAUGUGAUUUUCGUAUCUCCCUACUAAGAUAUGCAUCUGAACCUUUACUGAUAUUUUGAUAGUACAAUGACAAUUGGUCUCCUGUGAAGCAAAUAAGUUAUUUUCUUAUGGCACGUCAUGUCUUCAGCAAAUAUAUCAGAUAUAGAUUCGGUGUAAGUUAACCUUUUUGUAGUAUAAUAUUUUAUAUGAAUGGUUGGAUUUUCCUGGAGUUGCUAUAGAAUACUGUAAAGAUAACUUGAUGUUACUAUAGGGUGCACUAGGCCAGUAGCAAAGUUGUUCGUUUGUAACUACUUACUUGUAUGUUAGUCUUAAUAUUUAGUUUUUCUUAUCUUGCGCCAAAUUAGCCAAUUCUUUCUUAACUAUCAAAUCACUUCUAAAUUGUAGUAAUCGAUUCUUAGUUCUCAACUUCUCCAAUUUUCCAAUCCAUCAUCCCCAUACGUUUUAGAACUAUGCAAAGCUUUUCACGAGUGUCCUUGCUAAUUACCAAAUUAUAUUUGCCAGUUUUCAAAUCUACAUGAUGGGAUCGUGUAGUCCUAUAGUAGUUCAGUUUUUCAUAGCAGUAUCAAACGUACUUUAUAUUUUUCCUGUAAAUUACUCCCGUCCUUGCUUCCACAUUUUGUAACCAUGUGAAACCGUCAUUCUAGGAGCUAUUGAUUUGCAUAUAAUCCCAUGGACCGGGCUCAAGAUUUGUCUUGCGCACAAAGCUACUCUAUUUGUGCAACUAUUAUCUAAAGUAGGUACUGAAAUAUGUUGUGCAUUCAAGAUCAACCUUUAUCUUCAGGCCUGUAACAUAAUCUAUAUUGCUCAGUUUAUUCAAGUUUGCAUUACAGUUUCUGUAUGACCAGACAACUAGAUGGUGGCUACAAUUACACGAACGUCGCACAUAUAAUUUUUUCCAUGCUAAGGAAACCUCAAAAUCUUCAGUUUUA
Long non-coding RNA from Triticum dicoccoides, 2983 nucleotides. RefSeq lists it as uncharacterized. The transcript has 2 exons. NCBI's taxonomy places the organism in Eukaryota, Viridiplantae, Streptophyta, Magnoliopsida, Poales, Poaceae. The record is from RefSeq and is a predicted model, not a curated record.